Molecule: ribosomal RNA, 200 nt
Filed under: uncultured bacterium
Lineage: Bacteria
Description: partial 16S ribosomal RNA
Rfam family: Bacterial small subunit ribosomal RNA
Source: RNAcentral
AACGAACGCUGCGGCGGGCUUAACACAUGCAAGUCGAGCGCCCCGCAAGGGGAGCGGCAGACGGGUGAGUAACGCGUGGGAAUCUACCCAACUCUACGGAAUAACUCAGGGAAACUUGUGCUAAUACCGUAUGCGCCCUUCGGGGGAAAGAUUUAUCGGAGUUGGAUGAGCCCGCGUUGGAUUAGCUAGUUGGUGGGGUA